UGUUGCCAUCCGUUCCGUUAGCGUCGACGGCGUUUCGCCGAGUUUACGCGCACCGCACAGUAGUAGCGGCCGCGUCCCAGUUGCUGAGGUACGCAUGUGUUAACUUCGAGACGACGUUCUCUCUAUGAGACACACACAUACUGGGAGAAUAAAUGUGGAAGAGUACUUCCUGAUAUUACCGGUACUGUGACAUUUAAGUGACAAGCGUGUGCGGCUAGUUAACUUACUUCCAUCUUCAUAACAUGUGCAGUGUGUUCGUUGAUUGGUUCCUCGACACAUACUGCACUUACGGCGAAGUUAAUGCUGGUCACAAGCACGCACGUAUGAUGUGUGUUAACUGAAGCGAGAGGAAUUAAAACCACGGUCUUCCCGCAGGCCAGCCCAGAAACGACAAGCCGUCUGCAAGUGAGGUAGCCUCACUGAUAACACGCAAGAAAAAGCUAUUGACCGCAGUGUAAUGUCUUGGACCACGAGAGGAACGCAUGAGGUGCGCUUUUCCAAAGUAUUCUCCAGAUGCCUGUCUGAGCUCUAAAUAUUGGAAGCCUCAUCUAGGGACAUGUCUUAAGAAGAUUGACUGCUUUGAGUCUACUUGGUUCCACCACAAUGGGAGUAUCUACUGUAAAGUGAAGAAAGAGACAAGCAAAGAACCGGUAGAGUUGCGCUGAGAAGAUUACUGCCCCAAACAUUUCCCCGAAGACCUGAUGUAGAAAGUACAACAGCGAUCUCGGAGGCUGCGACAUCGCAGCAGCGGCGCCGGAGCACUGGCGCCGUCGCCACAGCGCGGCUAAUGUGGACGCGCGACGCCGUGACGUCAUGAACAGCAGUGCUGCGGAC
This is a long non-coding RNA of Schistocerca piceifrons (Central American locust), 834 nucleotides long. RefSeq lists it as uncharacterized. The transcript is spliced from 5 exons. Lineage: Eukaryota; Metazoa; Arthropoda; Insecta; Orthoptera; Acrididae. The record is from RefSeq and is a predicted model, not a curated record.